RNAcentral lists this ribosomal RNA (486 nucleotides) under uncultured bacterium. RNAcentral's name for it is "partial 16S ribosomal RNA". It matches the Rfam family "Bacterial small subunit ribosomal RNA", at positions 29 to 507 of the family's 1533-position model. The record is from RNAcentral.
AUUGAACGCUGGCGGCAUGCCUUACACAUGCAAGUCGAACGGCAGCACGGGUGCUUGCACCUGGUGGCGAGUGGCGAACGGGUGAGUAAUACAUCGGAACAUGUCCUGUAGUGGGGGAUAGCCCGGCGAAAGCCGGAUUAAUACCGCAUACGAUCUACGGAUGAAAGCGGGGGACCUUCGGGCCUCGCGCUAUAGGGUUGGCCGAUGGCUGAUUAGCUAGUUGGUGGGGUAAAGGCCUACCAAGGCGACGAUCAGUAGCUGGUCGGAGAGGACGACCAGCCACACUGGGACGGAGCCACGGCCCAGACUCCUACGGGAGGCAGCAGUGGGGAAUUUUGGACAAUGGGCGAAAGCCUGAUCCAGCAAUGCCGCGUGUGUGAAGAAGGCCUUCGGGUUGUAAAGCACUUUUGUCCGGAAAGAAAUCCUUGGCCCUAAUACGGUCGGGGGAUGACGGUACCGGAAGAAUAAGCACCGGCUAACUACGUG